GAUAAAAGAAAUUGAGAAGCGGAUGAUGGAGGAAGCACACUUGGAUUAUAUCUACACCCAACCCCUGAGUCCACCUGCGAAAUAAAUCAAAUUGCAUGCUUGCUUAGGAUUAUCAAGAACAUGAGAGCCUAGCUAUAUAUAAUGUGAAUGUAAUAAAGUUGAGAAAUAAAAAUAAAUUUGGGCAUUUCCAUUGUUAAGGUUGUGCUUUGACUGUGGUUGCUAUGCCUAAAGAAAAUAAGGAAUUAUUGAUAGUCACAGUUAGAAAAUAUUUGGAUUGUUACUACUGUUUAUUAUUGUGUUUAAUAUACAUGAUGAUUUAAUAUUUUUAAGUUAGAUGUGAUGUUUUUUUAUUUUGUAUUUUUUCACUUAGUUUUAUUCAAAAUUUUUAUUUAGCAUA
This 397-nucleotide long non-coding RNA is filed under the name Arachis ipaensis. RNAcentral's name for it is "long non-coding RNA (AIPA_LNC000491)". The record is from RNAcentral. Lineage: Eukaryota; Viridiplantae; Streptophyta; Magnoliopsida; Fabales; Fabaceae.